This 117-nucleotide ribosomal RNA is filed under the name Gemmatimonadota bacterium. The record is from RNAcentral. Lineage: Bacteria; Pseudomonadati; Gemmatimonadota.
GUUGGUGGCCACAGCGCAGGGGACACACCCGAUCCCAUCCCGAACUCGGAAGUUAAGCCCUGCCGCGCGGAUGGUACUGCUGGGGCAACCCGGUGGGAGAGUACGUCGCCGCCAGCC